UACGUAGGGCGCAAGCGUUGUCCGGAAUUAUUGGGCGUAAAGCGCACGUAGGCGGUCUGUUAUGUCGGAUGUGAAAGCCCUUGGCUCAACUGAGGAAGUGCAUCCGAAACUGGCAGGCUGGAGUACGUAAGAGGGUCGCGGAAUUCCCGGUGUAGAGGUGAAAUUCGUAGAUAUCGGGAGGAACACCGGUGGCGAAGGCGGCGACCUGGGACGAUACUGACGCUGAGGUGCGAAAGCGUGGGGAGCAAACAGG
RNAcentral lists this ribosomal RNA (253 nucleotides) under uncultured bacterium. RNAcentral describes it as "partial 16S ribosomal RNA". It matches the Rfam family "Bacterial small subunit ribosomal RNA", at positions 524 to 776 of the family's 1533-position model. The record is from RNAcentral.